Molecule: ribosomal RNA, 468 nt
Filed under: uncultured bacterium
Lineage: Bacteria
Description: partial 16S ribosomal RNA
Rfam family: Bacterial small subunit ribosomal RNA
Source: RNAcentral
GACGAACGCUGGCGGCGUGCUUAACACAUGCAAGUCGAACGGAAAGGCCCUGCUUUUGUGGGGUGCUCGAGUGGCGAACGGGUGAGUAACACGUGAGUAACCUGCCCUUGACUUUGGGAUAACUUCAGGAAACUGGGGCUAAUACCGGAUAGGAGCUCCUGCUGCAUGGUGGGGGUUGGAAAGUUUCGGCGGUUGGGGAUGGACUCGCGGCUUAUCCGCUUGUUGGUGGGGUAGUGGCUUACCAAGGCUUUGACGGGUAGCCGGCCUGAGAGGGUGACCGGCCACAUUGGGACUGCGAUACGGCCCAGACUCCUACGGGAGGCAGCAGUGGGGAAUAUUGCACAAUGGGCGGAAGCCUGAUGCAGCAACGCCGCGUGCGGGAUGACGGCCUUCGGGUUGUAAACCGCUUUCGCCUGUGACGAAGCGUGAGUGACGGUAAUUGGUAAAGAAGCACCGGCUAACUACGUG